GGAUUGUGGCUCAGUGGUAGAGCAUUUGCCCAGCACGUGGGAGGCCCUGGGUUCUAUCCUCAGCACCA
Molecule: transfer RNA, 68 nt
Filed under: Marmota monax (woodchuck)
Lineage: Eukaryota; Metazoa; Chordata; Mammalia; Rodentia; Sciuridae
Description: tRNA.Ala
Source: RNAcentral